Molecule: ribosomal RNA, 643 nt
Filed under: uncultured bacterium
Lineage: Bacteria
Description: bacterial SSU rRNA
Rfam family: Bacterial small subunit ribosomal RNA
Source: RNAcentral
CGCGGCCUAUCAGCUUGUUGGUGGGGUAAUGGCCUACCAAGGCGACGACGGGUAGCCGGCCUGAGAGGGCGACCGGCCACACUGGAACUGAGACACGGUCCAGACUCCUACGGGGGGCAGCAGUGGGGAAUAUUGCACAAUGGGCGCAAGCCUGAUGCAGCGACGCCGCGUGAGGGAUGACGGCCUUCGGGUUGUAAACCUCUUUCAGCAGGGACGAAGCGCAAGUGACGGUACCUGCAGAAGAAGCACCGGCUAACUACGUGCCAGCAGCCGCGGUAAUACGUAGGGUGCGAGCGUUGUCCGGAAUUACUGGGCGUAAAGAGUUCGUAGGCGGUUUGUCACGUCGUGUGUGAAAUCCCACAGCUUAACUGUGGGCUUGCAGGCGAUACGGGCAGACUUGAGUACUGCAGGGGAGACUGGAAUUCCUGGUGUAGCGGUGAAAUGCGCAGAUAUCAGGAGGAACACCGGUGGCGAAGGCGGGUCUCUGGGCAGUAACUGACGCUGAGGAACGAAAGCGUGGGGAGCGAACAGGAUUAGAUACCCUGGUAGUCCACGCCGUAAACGGUGGGUACUAGUUGUGGGUCCCUUCCACGGGAUCCGUGACGCAGCUAACGCAUUAAGUACCCCGCCUGGGGAGUACGGC